Molecule: ribosomal RNA, 301 nt
Filed under: uncultured bacterium
Lineage: Bacteria
Description: partial 16S ribosomal RNA
Rfam family: Bacterial small subunit ribosomal RNA
Source: RNAcentral
CAGUAGCCGCGGUAAUACGGAGGAUCCGAGCGUUAUCCGGAAUUAUUGGGUUUAAAGGGUGCGUAGGCGGAUAGAUAAGUCAGUGGUGAAAGACGGUGGCUCAACCAUCGCAGUGCCGUUGAUACUGUUUAUCUUGAAUAUGGAUGAGGUAGGCGGAAUGUGGCAAGUAGCGGUGAAAUGCAUAGAUAUGCCACAGAACACCGAUUGCGAAGGCAGCUUACCAAGGCAAAAUUGACGCUGAGGCACGAAAGCGUGGGGAUCGAACAGGAUUAGAUACCCGGGUAGUCCCUGUCUCUUAUAC